GUUACAGUGUCUUAAUGAUUGUAACUGAAGGAGCAUCAGUGAAAGUUCAUCCAGGAGGAAACACAACACUUCCCUGUAGCAUUAAAAAUGAUACAGAGAUUAACUGGAUCAUUACGAAUGGAAACCAAACAUUUUUAUGCAGGUCGGAUAACAGCACUCAUUUCUCCCAUAAACACUCACUCUCUGCUUCUGAUGAACAUCUCUGACACUGAUCUCAUGCUCUACUGCUGCAUGGACUUCACACUUGAACAAUCUCACUGCACAAAGCUGGACUAUCAAGGUAUAUGCUUCAGACAAUUUUUAUGUACAUUAAAAUAUAUUAAUUUUA
Cyprinus carpio carpio is the source of this 328-nucleotide long non-coding RNA. NCBI's taxonomy places the organism in Eukaryota, Metazoa, Chordata, Actinopteri, Cypriniformes, Cyprinidae. The record is from Ensembl.